Molecule: ribosomal RNA, 301 nt
Filed under: uncultured bacterium
Lineage: Bacteria
Description: partial 16S ribosomal RNA
Rfam family: Bacterial small subunit ribosomal RNA
Source: RNAcentral
CAGUCGCCACGGUAAUACAGAGGGUGCGAGCGUUAAUCGGAUUUACUGGGCGUAAAGCGUGUGUAGGUUGUUGUUCAAGUCAGUUGUGAAAGCCCUGGGCUCAACCUGGGAAUUGCAGUGGAUACUGGGUCACUAGAGUGUGGUAGAGGAUAGUGGAAUUUCCGGUGUAGCAGUGAAAUGCGUAGAGAUCGGAAGGAACAUCUGUGGCGAAGGCGACUAUCUGGGCCAACACUGACACUGAGGCACGAAAGCGUGGGGAGCAAACAGGAUUAGAUACCCCUGUAGUCCCUGUCUCUUAUAC